GUAUCAACCGAGCNACUCGCGAUAUGCUCUAGAUUAAACGUUGGAUCAUGGUCUCAGACUGAGACGCUAGGUCUGUGCACAGCUCAACACAUGCAAGUCGAGCGGGGAAGUGUUGCUUCGGUAACUGACCUAGCGGCGGACGGGUGAGUAAUGCUUAGGAAUCUGCCAUUUAGUGGGGGACAACAUUCCGAAAGGAAUGCUAAUACCGCAUACGUCCUACGGGAGAAAGCAGGGGAUCUUCGGACCUUGCGCUAAAUGAUGAGCCUAAGUCGGAUUAGCUAGUUGGUGGGGUAAAGGCCUACCAAGGCGACGAUCUGUAGCGGGUCUGAGAGGAUGAUCCGCCACACUGGGACUGAGACACGGCCCAGACUCCUACGGGAGUGCAGCAGUGGGGAAUAUUGGACAAUGGGCGGAAGCCUGAUCCAGCCAUGCCGCGUGUGUGAAGAAGUGCCUUAUGGUUGUAAAGCACUUUAAGCGAGGAGGAGGCUACCAGUAUUAAUACUACUGGAUAGUGGACGUUACUCGCAGAAUAAGCACCGGCUAACUCUGUGCCAGCAGCCGCGGUAAUACAGAGGGUGCGAGCGUUAAUCGGAUUUACUGGGCGUAAAAGCGUGCGUAGCGGNUUUUUAAGUCGGAUGUGAAAAUUCCCGAGCUUAACUUGGGAAUUGCNUUCGAUUACUGGGGAAGCCUAAGUUUUGGGGAGCACGGGUUGGGUUGACAAUUUCCCCGUGUUUCCGGGGNAAAAUGNUUUAGUCUGGGGGGACCAUCCCACNUGGGNGAAGGCGGGCCCCUUUGGCCUAUAUGACCCUUAGGUGAGUUNGUGNCCUCACUCCNUCUUUUNUCCUCUNUUCCCUUGGAGAUANUAUCUAUAUAUAGCUCNNCCGGCGAGUAGUUGUCGUGCUGAGAAACUNUNGGNNGCGGCCUAUCACCAUUUCGGNCGGCGGCGGUUUAAUGGCCCGCUCUU
This 964-nucleotide ribosomal RNA is filed under the name uncultured bacterium. RNAcentral's name for it is "partial 16S ribosomal RNA". The stretch from base 30 to 850 matches the Rfam family "Bacterial small subunit ribosomal RNA". The record is from RNAcentral.